This 987-nucleotide ribosomal RNA is filed under the name uncultured bacterium. Its description in RNAcentral is "bacterial SSU rRNA". It matches the Rfam family "Bacterial small subunit ribosomal RNA", at positions 517 to 1502 of the family's 1533-position model. The record is from RNAcentral.
GCGGUAAUACGGGAGUGGCAAGCGUUAUCCGGGAAUUAUUGGGCGUAAAGCGUCCGCAGGCGGCCCUUCAAGUCUGCUGUUAAAACGUGGAGCUUAACUCCAUCAUGGCAGUGGAAACUGUUGGGCUUGAGUGUGGUAGGGGCAGAGGGAAUUCCCGGUGUAGCGGUGAAAUGCGUAGAUAUCGGGAAGAACACCAGUGGCGAAGGCGCUCUGCUGGGCCAUAACUGACGCUCAUGGACGAAAGCCAGGGGAGCGAAAGGGAUUAGAUACCCCUGUAGUCCUGGCCGUAAACGAUGAACACUAGGUGUCGGGGGAAUCGACCCCCUCGGUGUCGUAGCCAACGCGUUAAGUGUUCCGCCUGGGGAGUACGCACGCAAGUGUGAAACUCAAAGGAAUUGACGGGGGCCCGCACAAGCGGUGGAGUAUGUGGUUUAAUUCGAUGCAACGCGAAGAACCUUACCAGGGUUUGACAUCCUGCGAACCUCUUGGAAACGAGAGGGUGCCUUCGGGAACGCAGUGACAGGUGGUGCAUGGCUGUCGUCAGCUCGUGUCGUGAGAUGUUGGGUUAAGUCCCGCAACGAGCGCAACCCACGUCUUUAGUUGCCAGCAUUUAGUUGGGCACUCUAGAGAGACCGCCGGUGAUAAACCGGAGGAAGGUGUGGAUGACGUCAAGUCAUCAUGCCCCUUACAUCCUGGGCUACACACGUACUACAAUGCUACGGACAAAGAGCAGCAAGUUCGCGAGGACAAGCAAAUCUCAUAAACCGUGGCUCAGUUCAGAUCGUAGGCUGCAACUCGCCUACGUGAAGGAGGAAUCGCUAGUAAUCGCAGGUCAGCAUACUGCGGUGAAUACGUUCCCGGGCCUUGUACACACCGCCCGUCACACCAUGGAAGUUGGCCACGCCCGAAGCCGUUACUCCAACCCUUGUGGAGGAGGACGUCGAAGGUGGGGCUGAUGACUGGGGUGAAGUCGUAACAAGGUAGCCG